AGAGUUUGAUCCUGGCUCAGGAUGAACGCUGGCGGCGUGCCUAAUACAUGCAAGUCGAGCGAACGGACGAGAAGCUUGCUUCUCUGAUGUUAGCGGCGGACGGGUGAGUAACACGUGGAUAACCUACCUAUAAGACUGGGAUAACUUCGGGAAACCGGAGCUAAUACCGGAUAAUAUUUUGAACCGCAUGGUUCAAAAGUGAAAGACGGUCUUGCUGUCACUUAUAGAUGGAUCCGCGCUGCAUUAGCUAGUUGGUAAGGUAACGGCUUACCAAGGCAACGAUGCAUAGCCGACCUGAGAGGGUGAUCGGCCACACUGGAACUGAGACACGGUCCAGACUCCUACGGGAGGCAGCAGUAGGGAAUCUUCCGCAAUGGGCGAAAGCCUGACGGAGCAACGCCGCGUGAGUGAUGAAGGUCUUCGGAUCGUAAAACUCUGUUAUUAGGGAAGAACAUAUGUGUAAGUAACUGUGCACAUCUUGACGGUACCUAAUCAGAAAGCCACGGCUAACUACGUGCCAGCAGCCGCGGUAAUACGUAGGUGGCAAGCGUUAUCCGGAAUUAUUGGGCGUAAAGCGCGCGUAGGCGGUUUUUUAAGUCUGAUGUGAAAGCCCACGGCUCAACCGUGGAGGGUCAUUGGAAACUGGAAAACUUGAGUGCAGAAGAGGAAAGUGGAAUUCCAUGUGUAGCGGUGAAAUGCGCAGAGAUAUGGAGGAACACCAGUGGCGAAGGCGACUUUCUGGUCUGUAACUGACGCUGAUGUGCGAAAGCGUGGGGAUCAAACAGGAUUAGAUACCCUGGUAGUCCACGCCGUAAACGAUGAGUGCUAAGUGUUAGGGGGUUUCCGCCCCUUAGUGCUGCAGCUAACGCAUUAAGCACUCCGCCUGGGGAGUACGACCGCAAGGUUGAAACUCAAAGGAAUUGACGGGGACCCGCACAAGCGGUGGAGCAUGUGGUUUAAUUCGAAGCAACGCGAAGAACCUUACCAAAUCUUGACAUCCUUUGACAACUCUAGAGAUAGAGCCUUCCCCUUCGGGGGGACAAAGUGACAGGUGGUGCAUGGUUGUCGUCAGCUCGUGUCGUGAGAUGUUGGGUUAAGUCCCGCAACGAGCGCAACCCUUAAGCUUAGU
This 1129-nucleotide ribosomal RNA is filed under the name Staphylococcus aureus M1087. RNAcentral describes it as "bacterial SSU rRNA". It matches the Rfam family "Bacterial small subunit ribosomal RNA", at positions 8 to 1115 of the family's 1533-position model. Lineage: Bacteria; Bacillati; Bacillota; Bacilli; Caryophanales; Staphylococcaceae. The record is from RNAcentral.